GGUUGAGAAAUGUUUAUUGUAAAAAUGGAGUUUAUAAUGAAAAUAAAAAAUUAUUUCAUAACAUUCUGAUACCACUACACCUGAGUUUGAUGCCAGCAUGGUUUGAAAGUGAAGCUGAUACAAGUUUUGUAAAGGAUGUUAAAAAACUAUAGUAUGAAGAAUGUAAUAAUGUUUUAGAAGACACUAAAACUUAAAUAUUUAGAUGCUGUAUAUGAGAAAUCACACCAAGCUCUCUUAAUUGGGUUAACAUUAGAUAACGACAUCUCAAUUUCCAAGCUUCCAAAAAUAGGUAAAAAAAAUUAUUUUAGUUUGAUAUUAAAAAGAAUAAUGCAUUGGGAGCAGGAAUCCAUUCUUUCAGGUUUUAAGAAUAAUGUUAUGACUAUUAGAUUAUCAUCAAUGACUAUAAAGUUAAUGUCAAAUAUCUUCUAUUUUAUUGGUGUUUUAACAUUCGAUUCAUUAGAUUAACAUGCUAGCUUUUCCUGUCUUUUCGUUCUUGCGUAAGUGAAUGAUUUAUUAGACCUGGUGCUCAAUUUACGGGCUUUUCUCAUUUCAACUUGAAGAAACUGCAAAUAUUUAUAGAAGAUGAAUCACAUGUAUUUGUUCCUGAAAAAUGUCAGAAUACAGCACUCAAAUUAAAUGCCGAACAGAAGCUAUUCCCUAACACUACAUACUGUGGCGAUUUAAUUUCCACUGACAUGUUUUCCUAAACAGUUUUUCCCACUAUGAUUAAUCCCCCAAUCAAAAAUUACUGAAAUCUUUCAUUAAGUGUGUAUUCACGUUACUAAGUUAUAGAAAUCUAAACAAUCAUAAAGAAUUUACAAAUCACACCUCUAACAACAUAGUUGAAUUGAUUCAGUUAAAUUACUCUUACAUCCUAAAAAAUACGUAGGUUAUGUUCAAACUGAUUUUCCUUGCUUUUAUUUUGCUUGCUUGCUACUUUAAGAAUGCUGUAACUCCACAGUAAGAUCCCAAGUCUAGAAAAUUAGAAUGCAGAGGAAAUGAACCAACAGAGCAUACACUCCACAAGGGCAGGGGCCAUGGUCAGUUUUACCUGUUAAUAUAUCCCUUCCAUCUAACAUAGUCACCCUCAAAUUUGUGUUGACUCCAAUUUAAGGUAUCACCAUGGGUAGGAGGGCAAAAGAGCAGAAACUCUUCAAGGCAAUUUGGCAAUACAGGUAAAAGGGCUGACAUUUUACAUACCCUUUGGCUCCAAGUCUACAUCAAAGAUUAUCCUAAAGAAAUAAUUAUGUAUGUGAGCAAGUGCUUGGAUUCUAGAAUGUUCUAGGUCCUGAGCUUUUUAAAGUAAAACCCAGCUAACAACCCAAUAUCCUGGAUAGGGUGCCUGGAGUGCCUCCCUCAUCAUGAAUACAUGCUGAGUGGCUGCCGCAUACCAACCAGAGUUCUGCACGCUUCACCCCAGCUCCCAACAAACGUCUUCAACACUCGCAGCUACCUUG
This 1457-nucleotide long non-coding RNA is filed under the name Macaca fascicularis (crab-eating macaque). Its description in RNAcentral is "lncRNA (ENSMFAG00000061195.1)". Lineage: Eukaryota; Metazoa; Chordata; Mammalia; Primates; Cercopithecidae. The record is from RNAcentral.